GCUUAACGCGAAGAACCUUACCUACCCUUGACAUGCUAGGAAGCUCGCAGAGAUGUGAGCGUGCCCGAAAGGGAACCUGGACACAGGUGCUGCAUGGCUGUCGUCAGCUCGUGUCGUGAGAUGUUGGGUUAAGUCCCGCAACGAGCGCAACCCUUGCCAUUAGUUGCUACAUUCAGUUGGGCACUCUAAUGGGACCGCCGGUGACAAACCGGAGGAAGGUGGGGAUGACGUCAAGUCCUCAUGGCCCUUAUGGGUAGGGCUUCACACGUAAUACAAUGGUCGGUACAGAGGGCUGCCAACCCGCAAGGGGGAGCUAAUCCCAGAAAGCCGAUCGUAGUCCGGAUUGCAGUCUGCAACUCGACUGCAUGAAGCCGGAAUCGCUAGUAAUCGCGGAUCAGCAUGUCGCGGUGAAUACGUUCCCGGGUCUUGUACACACCG
RNAcentral lists this ribosomal RNA (438 nucleotides) under uncultured bacterium. RNAcentral describes it as "bacterial SSU rRNA". It matches the Rfam family "Bacterial small subunit ribosomal RNA", at positions 954 to 1392 of the family's 1533-position model. The record is from RNAcentral.